Molecule: long non-coding RNA, 5924 nt
Filed under: Sus scrofa (pig)
Lineage: Eukaryota; Metazoa; Chordata; Mammalia; Artiodactyla; Suidae
Description: lncRNA (ENSSSCG00000060624.1)
Source: RNAcentral
CCUUCCAUUUGAAAAUCUGACCCCUGGCACUGCCAGGAUGUCAUUUUUCAGGUUCUGGAAAAAUUCAUUCAAGAGCUGACACCCACCUGCCCUGCCUACCUGCAGCCUCCUGUGUUCCAGCUUCACAGGCUUCUCAAAUGUGCCUGAACCAGCCUGUGCUCCCAGCCUAACCUGCAGUGAUGCUCCCCUGGUCCCAGCCAUGUCUGGGUUCCACAGCACCUGUGGGUUCCCCCCCAGCCCCACCCCCAUCAUUGACCUGCUAGACAAAGUUAACAGUGUCUGUCUGGCCCCCUCCUGGAUGGCGAACUCCUGGAGGGCAGGGCUUGCUUCUUCCUCUCCUCUCUCCAAUGCUGGUAUAAAGUCGGUGCAGGAUGUGGGUGCCUGUGGAAUAAAAGACUGAAUGGGAGCACUUGCUUCCUGGAAAGGAAGAGAUUAUGGCCGGAGCAGUGAAGUCUCUUUCCAAAAGCUUUUUGAAGUUCUUUCGAUUGUUUGCUAAUUGAGCCGGAAAUGACUCCCUUGAACAGGAAGCUGCUCACAGAAUCACAAACCAAGAGCCCCCUUAUCUCACUCUUACACCUGGCAGAACCUCCUCAGGCUGGAGAGUGGAGCCGGCUCGGUCCACCCCUUGGGUUUUAGGGUGGUGCCGCCCCUCCGUUCAUGGCAUUGACUGAAGGAAAAACGCAAGACACAAGAGUUAGGUUUUGGAGUUCCCACUGUGGUGCAGCCGGAUUGGUGGCAUCUCUGGAGCACUGGGAUGCAGGUUCGAUCCCUGGCCCCCCAGCAGUAACCACAGUAGGUUAAGGACCCAGCAUUGCCAUGGCUGUGGUGUAGGUCACAGCUAUGGCUUGGAUCUGAUCCCUGGCCUGGGAACUUGCUAUGCCUUGAGGUGGCUAAAAAAGAAAGAAAGAAAAAAAAAAGAGUUACGAGUUAAGUUCUAUUAAGGUACCUCACUGAGGAUGAUAGCCCGGGAAACAGCCUCUCAGUAGCUCUGAGGGAACUGCUCCAAAGAGGCGGUGAGAGAACAGACGAUGUGGUUUUUGACCAGGGAAGAGCAGAUCUUGGUAAAAGACCACUGCUAGUCGCAGUGAAUGGGGAUCUCAAGAUUUUAGUGCUUGUCUGUGAAUGAGAAGAUGCAAGAGUCUGGGCUCAUUGAAAUUCUUGCUGAGAUGUGCAUCCCGUGCUCUCAGGAGCGUGUUUCCCAAAGCACAGAGUACCUCUUCCUUCCAGGUGCACCUCGGGUCAGCCGCUGCAGCGUCAGCCACUGCAGCGGCUAAGGACUCAGUCCUCGUAGAACCGAACAGAGGGCAACGUUCUUUGUUUAACAGUGGACGCCACCCUGGGGGCAGGUUCUUUUUGUUUUGUUUGCCCAGAUCAGAAGCUUGGGACUGGGGGCCAUCCAGGGCAGUCCUGUGUGCGUCCAGCAUCUGGACUGGGCAGGGCUCAGGGGCGCUGAAAUGAGGGUGAGGUGCCAGCUGUCAAGGAACUGGGAUGGGGGUGCAGGGGGCUUGAAGGGAGCAGGAACAGGCAUUUGACCUGCAACUGAAGGAAAACUGAAAAAAAUAGGUAAGAAUUGCACCAAGGGAAUUUUGGUUUUUGAAGCUAAAGACAAUUUUUAAAAUUUUUUAUUUAUUUUUUGUCUUUUUUUUUUUUAGGGCCGUUCCCAGGCUAGGGGUCAAAUGGGGGCUGUAGCUGCAGGCCUGUGUCACAGCCAUAGCAACUGUCACAGCCAUAGCAACCCCAGAUCUGAGCCGCGUCUGCGACCUACACCCUGGUUCAUGGCAACGCUGGAUCCUUAACCCACUGAGUGGGGCCCACAUUCUCAUGGAUACUAGUUGGGUUCUUAACCCACUGAGCCACAUGGGAAUUCUUUUUUUUUUUUUUUUUUUUAAAUGGCCAAGGUCUUUGGAUCUCUGAGUAUUUAAUAAAUGGUUAUGUGUUUUAUUAGCCUAAAUUGCAAAAAGAAUCUGUGGUGAUGAAGAGUUGGCUUGAGAAGUGUGUCCAUCUGGGUCUAGGGUGAGGCUCUUCCCCUGAGCAGACAGGGGACCGAGGCCCCAGGUCACCAGGUAGCCCAGUGUCACAAGGGCAGCUUCAGGAGUUUAUAAGAUGAACACAAACCCUAUUCAAGAUUAAAUACAUAAACCUCAGCUUGGGAGGUAAAGGCAAUUGUCAACCUGUUGUGGAAGGAAACGUCUUCCAGCUUAAAACUGUCUCGAGGACACUGACAGCCCAGGCUUUCUAGAAAGGCCCAAGGCGGCAGGCCCUGCUGGCUGCCCCCUCUGUGAUGUGUCCGGUCAAGCUGAGUGGUGACCUUUGCCCUGGGAGAGACGAGGUUGCAGCUUCUGUCCUUUCUCGACCGAGCCAGGGUUUGUACUCGUGUGACCCAAGUUCUCCCACGCCAGGCAGCCCUGGAGUGAAAGAGGGCUGUGGUGACAAGACGGCAUCUCCCUGGUGCCCCGCCCUUCCCUGUCCCUGCCCUGUCCCUGCCCUGCUCCCAGCUCUGCCCUGGGGAAGGGGUGUGCACAGUCCUGCUGCUGCUGCUCCGGCCCGACUCGGGGCAUCCUGGGCCGUCUGCGGAGCUGAGAAAGUGGAGCCGCCCUUGACCCCAUUUUCCCAGGGCUCCGCUGCAUCCCCGGGGCGGGGGCUGGGAAUGCUGUGGGCACGCCCGCCAGGACUCCUUCUGGACAGACGUUUCCACGUCUUGCCGCCCUCAGGCCCCGCUUCCGGGCCUUGCUGACCUGGGGCGGGGCAGGGGGAAUGAUUUCCUCCUUUUGCAAAAACCCCUGGCAGCUGCCCUGGCAGUCCUGGGGCGCGAGGCCGGGUUCUCUUAGGCACUAAACCAGAUAUAGCACAGCUGGCUAUGCGUGUCCACUGGUGAGAGUUGAUGUGGGUGCCGUUUGGGGCAUUUUCUAGAAUGAUUUUUUUUUUUUUCAUGACAAAAUUCAGACUAGAAAGUAGUGAGCUGCCCAAAUUAGAAGGAUUCAGAGCUUUUCUGAGUUCCUAUGAUAAUAUACCAGAAUCACUGCAACUUAAUAUUUUUUUUCUGCUGAAAACAUGGUAUUUUUACCUCAAAUUCUUUCAGUAACUUGCAUCUCUAAAGAAAUGACCAUUUCCUGCUUAGCCAAACAGAAUUAACGAUAAUUCCUUAGUGUCAUCAAAUACCAGGUCCAUAGUCAAAUUUCCUUAGGGUCCCCAAAAUAUAUUUCACCGCUGGUUUGUUCAAACUAGGAUUCAGUCAAAGUCCAGAUGUUGCGUUUAGUUGUUUUAAGUCUGCUUAGAUCCAGAACAGUUUGUUCUCUGUAUUUGGGGUAGUAGGAAGGGUCUCCGCACUCUAAUACGUUUAGUGGUUUCAUUUUUUUACAUUUAAAUCUGACCCAUUUGCAAUUUAUUCUCUUAUAUCUUUUAUUCUUUAGAGACAUGCCUUCAGUACAUGGAAGUUCCUGAGCCAGGGAUCGAACCGGUGACCUGAGCUGCUGCAGUGACAAUGGCCAGAUCCUUAACCAUCCGAGCCACCCACCAGGUAGCCCCUAUUCUCUUGCUUCUUGUGAGGCAAGGAUUUAAUUUUGUCUUUCCCCAGAUGGCUAUCGGGUGUUCCAACUCGCUUUAUUAAAAAGUCUCUUUCCUCCAUUAAUUUAAGAGUUAACAUAAAUCCUUUGUCAUAUGGCAACUGUCAUAAUUCUUAGGUUUUCUGUACCUUCUCAUAUGUUGCAUUGGUUUGCAAGCCUAGUCAUAUGCCUCUAGCAAGCCGUUUUCAUUAUAGAGGUUCUGUGGCAUGUUUUAGCACCUGGCAGGCCAGAGCCCCCAGGUCACUGCUCUUCUCCUCAGUUUUCCUGGUUAUUUAUUUAUUUAUUUAUUUGUUGUCUUUUUAGGGCCACGCCCGAAGCAUAUGGAAGUUCCCAGGCUUGGGGUUAAAUCGGAGCUGCAGCUGCCGGCCUGCGCCACAGCCCCAGCAACGCCCGAUCUGAGCCGUGUCUGGGACCUACACCACAGCUCACAGCAAUGCUGGAUCUGUAAUCCACUGAGCGAGGUCAGGGAUGGAACCCACAACCUCAUGGUUCCUAGUUGGGUUCAUUAACCACUGCGCCACGACGGGAACUCCUGGUAAUCAUUUGUUAUCUCACAGUUUCGUUGGGUGAGGAAUUGGGAGCAGCUGUGGGAUAGUUUGGCUUGGGGGUCACCAGCGUUUGAGGUUGCAGUCAAGAUGUCCAUCAGGGCUGCAGUCAUCUGAAGGUUCGAUUGGAGCUGAAGGGUCUCCUGCCAAGAUACCUCCCUCCAGACUGUUGAUAAGACGCGUCACAUAUUCACAGAAUUCAGAUGGGAGCCUCAGCUCCUCACCGUGGGGAGCUCUGCCUAUGGCUCCUGUCGUAUCCUACUGACAUAGCACCUCUGGUCCACCAAAUCCAGUGACCCAAGGCGGAAGCUACAAAAUCUCUGGGACUCAUCUUGUCGCUCUGUCAUCUCCUCAGGAUCUUAUCGUCUCCCCUAAAUGUGGGAGGGUCCAUGCAGCAGCGUGACUAUCAGGACCUGGAUCCUGGUGGCCAUCUCCAUGGCUCUUGGUUCCUCUGGGCUUUCGAUGCCGCCUUCUCAGUCAUCCUUCCUUUUUCACAAAAGAGAGCUGAUGCUUGCUGAGGAAUUGUUUUCUGAGCCUGUGUUUCAGUCCAGGUCCACCCAGAAGACCCAAACCACACAGAAACUUGUACAGGGAGAGCUUGGAAUAAAGACGUAUGAGCAGGGGUCCUGGGGAUUGGCUCAUAAAAGGGCUCUAAAGAGCACAGGAGCAGCAGUCAUUUCAUCUGGGAGUGAGGCCAGCCCGUCCCCAGGCUGAGCCUCAGACCCAUGAGAGUUCGGGCACCGCUUAUGGGGUUACAGGGGCUUCCUUGGAAGGACUUGCUUGAAAUCCACCUUCCAACAGAACCCUCCAGGCUCAUCAGAAGGUGCCGCAGAAGCCCUGCAAGAGGAGGAGUCUGGCUGGGGACUGUCCUGUGUGAAGCUGCCUGAGGGAUGGUGAUGGGAGACCACAUCACGAAGGGCUGAGGGGGUGUGUCCAGGGCACUGGGUUCCCGGCUGCCUCACCUGCUGGCACCUGGUUGCUCUAAGCCACCCAGGGAAGCUGUCUGUGGGCAGCUCACUGCCAGCCAUCCAAGAAGUGCCUAGCUAGCAGCAUUAAUACCGAAUACACUAAACUAGUAACAUGAGGUCAAGGGUUAAUUAAUUUCGUAACAAGGGGAAAUAACGCUUCUUAGCUUUUUUUUUUUCCUUAAGGCCGCACCCUCAGCAUAUGGAGGUUCCCAGGCUAGGGGGCAAAUCAGAGCUGCAGCUGCCCACCUACACCACAACCACAGCAACACAGGAUCUGUGCUGCAUCUGCGACCCACACCACAGCUCAUGGCAAUGCCAGAUCCUUAACCCCACUGAGCGAGGCCAGGGAUUGAACCUGCCUCUUCAUGGAUACUAGUCAGAUUCAUUACCACUGAGCCACGAUGGGAACUCCUUAGUUUUUUAUUUUUAUUUAAAAAUUUUUUUUUACAUUUAUUUAUUUAUUUGUCUUUUUAGGGCCGCACUGGUGGGAUAUGGAAGUUCCCAGGCUAGGAACCUACACCACAGCCACAGCAAUGCCAGAUCCGAGCUGUAUCUGCGACCUACACAGCUCACAGCAAUGCUGGAUCCUUAACCCACUGAUUGAGGCCAGGGAUCAAACCUGUGUCCUUAUGGAUGCUACUCAGAUUUGUUUCCACUGAGCCACAACAGGAACUCCAGUUUCUUUCUUUUUUUAAAAAAAGUUUAUUUUAUUGGGAGUUCCUGCAGUAGCACAAUGGGAUCGGCAGUGUCUCUGCAGUGCCAGGAUGCAGGUUCGAUCCCCAGCCCCGCCUGUGCAGUGGGUCAGAGGAUCCAGGGUUGCCAAAGCUGUGGCUUGGAUCUGAUCCCUG